This 1445-nucleotide ribosomal RNA is filed under the name Microbacterium sp. KAR67. RNAcentral describes it as "bacterial SSU rRNA". It matches the Rfam family "Bacterial small subunit ribosomal RNA". Lineage: Bacteria; Bacillati; Actinomycetota; Actinomycetes; Micrococcales; Microbacteriaceae. The record is from RNAcentral.
GAUGAACGCUGGCGGCGUGCUUAACACAUGCAAGUCGAACGAUGAAGCCUAGCUUGCUGGGUGGAUUAGUGGCGAACGGGUGAGUAACACGUGAGCAACCUGCCCCUGACUCUGGGAUAAGCGCUGGAAACGGCGUCUAAUACUGGAUACGAGACGUGGCCGCAUGGUCAACGUUUGGAAAGAUUUUUCGGUUGGGGAUGGGCUCGCGGCCUAUCAGCUUGUUGGUGAGGUAAUGGCUCACCAAGGCGUCGACGGGUAGCCGGCCUGAGAGGGUGACCGGCCACACUGGGACUGAGACACGGCCCAGACUCCUACGGGAGGCAGCAGUGGGGAAUAUUGCACAAUGGGCGGAAGCCUGAUGCAGCAACGCCGCGUGAGGGAUGACGGCCUUCGGGUUGUAAACCUCUUUUAGCAGGGAAGAAGCGAAAGUGACGGUACCUGCAGAAAAAGCGCCGGCUAACUACGUGCCAGCAGCCGCGGUAAUACGUAGGGCGCAAGCGUUAUCCGGAAUUAUUGGGCGUAAAGAGCUCGUAGGCGGUUUGUCGCGUCUGCUGUGAAAUCUGGGGGCUCAACCCCCAGCCUGCAGUGGGUACGGGCAGACUAGAGUGCGGUAGGGGAGAUUGGAAUUCCUGGUGUAGCGGUGGAAUGCGCAGAUAUCAGGAGGAACACCGAUGGCGAAGGCAGAUCUCUGGGCCGUAACUGACGCUGAGGAGCGAAAGGGUGGGGAGCAAACAGGCUUAGAUACCCUGGUAGUCCACCCCGUAAACGUUGGGAACUAGUUGUGGGGUCCAUUCCACGGAUUCCGUGACGCAGCUAACGCAUUAAGUUCCCCGCCUGGGGAGUACGGCCGCAAGGCUAAAACUCAAAGGAAUUGACGGGGACCCGCACAAGCGGCGGAGCAUGCGGAUUAAUUCGAUGCAACGCGAAGAACCUUACCAAGGCUUGACAUAUACGAGAACGGGCCAGAAAUGGUCAACUCUUUGGACACUCGUAAACAGGUGGUGCAUGGUUGUCGUCAGCUCGUGUCGUGAGAUGUUGGGUUAAGUCCCGCAACGAGCGCAACCCUCGUUCUAUGUUGCCAGCACGUAAUGGUGGGAACUCAUGGGAUACUGCCGGGGUCAACUCGGAGGAAGGUGGGGAUGACGUCAAAUCAUCAUGCCCCUUAUGUCUUGGGCUUCACGCAUGCUACAAUGGCCGGUACAAAGGGCUGCAAUACCGUGAGGUGGAGCGAAUCCCAAAAAGCCGGUCCCAGUUCGGAUUGAGGUCUGCAACUCGACCUCAUGAAGUCGGAGUCGCUAGUAAUCGCAGAUCAGCAACGCUGCGGUGAAUACGUUCCCGGGUCUUGUACACACCGCCCGUCAAGUCAUGAAAGUCGGUAACACCUGAAGCCGGUGGCCUAACCCUUGUGGAGGGAGCCGUCGAAGGUGGGAUCGGUAAUUAGGACU